UGCAAGCUAAAGCAAACCCUUUAUGAACCUGGAAGCAACCUGUUAGCACUCCAUGCAUGAUAAAAACAUACAUGUAUUAAUACACUGGCUUGUGGACCAUAAUUACAGUUCCCUCCCCCCACCCCAAAAGGGAACAAAAAUGCAAAACAGCCCCUAAAAGACAUUUAAUUGGCAACUUGGGGAUUGUCCUUAUGUAAGAGAAUUUGUGAGCUUGAGUCUAAUGAAAAAGACACCAGUGUCUCCUGUAAAUAUCUCUGUCCUCAAUUUCCAAUCCUCUGCUACACUUUCAGCAAUCUCUUGUUAGUUUGUGACUGAAUCCCUUAGCCUAGUAAUUGAUCUUUCAAGAACUUGCUUUGUCUAAUCAUGGCCAGAGUGACACAGGGAAAUAAUGGGGAGACAAGGUGGGCAAGGUAAUCUUUUUUAUAGGAUCAACUUCUGUUGGUGAGAGAGACAAACUUUUGAGUUACAUGGAGCUCUCUUUUGGGAAAUAGUUUGAGAUGCCCGUGAAUAGAUACUCCUAAAAUCCAAACCAACCUACUGCAUUUUGGAUUUCUGCUCUGAGACAUUCAAUGGCAGCUUACAGCAGCUGAAAAUUUGGCUCAUGAAAUGUUGCAUGUUGUUUGGCUUUAUUAUGGGGAAAUUCUCUGGGUUGAUCUAACUCUGGCUUCUGAGUUAGAUUUGCAUAUUAUAAAGGUUUGCAAGUACAUUAAGCGUCUUGGGGUCUGCUAAUGACAAGCCCUAUAUUAGAGCUAGUAUUUCUAUUAACUCCUCUUCUCCCUUGAGUUUAGGACAGAACAGUGGCAUGGUACAUGGGUGAAGAUGAAGUUUGCUUCCCCUUCCCAGGAUUCUAGAAACACUUUUCUCUAUUUUUUUUAUUUAUACUUCCUAAUGCUAAGGCAUGAUUUGGCUUGCCAGGGUGCUAUAAAAUCAGGGCCAAAUAUUGGGCGUUUGUCCUAUUAGCUUGUUUUCAUUUACUGGCUUGAAGUGUUUGCAUGAUCCUCCUCAUUUAGAAAACAGGGACCUGUGACUAAGGGACUGGUUAUAAUGCUGCUUGAUAAACCUUUGUAAAGCAAUGUGCUGUUGCGAGUAAUGGGCUCCAUUCAUUAUUAGCCCAGUUGAUUUUCAUUUACACUUGGCUCUAACAAUUAGCUUGAGCAGGUGUGAAGGUGAUGGAGGGGCUGGGACACACAAGGUCAGCCACUGCUCUAUGUGAUAAAUUAACCAUUAUUAUCGGCAGUGAAAGUGGCUCUUUACGCUUGUCAGCAGCAAACAAAGGGACAACAUUUCUCACACAAACUCAAGUCAGGGCCAGGGCUGCAAAUGUGACGUGUCUGCUUCAUUCUGUCUGCUAAAUAAAGGCAAGUCCUUCCCUUGAGAUGUCACACCUGUGUGUCUCACUUCAAGCAGGUAUAAUAAAUUGUUACUUGAAAAAAACCCAUCUUGAGUUGCAAGCCAUAUUAUAAUGGCUUUUUCUGCUGACAAAUUCCAGUUUGUAUUAGAAAACAAUAAGGGAAGGUCUGGCUGUGUCUGAACUAUGGGAGUAAGCUUUGAAAAAUUAUUCAAAGGUAAUUUGGGGCUGGUAUUCUCUUAAUUUCCUUGUUCUUUUUGUUUGGUUUUUAAACUGACCCAUUUUGCAAAAUACCCAGAACUCUUCUGCACCACAUUGAGUUUUCCAUGGGCAACUGCUCUUUCUUCAUCUUUAAUUAAUCAUAAUUCACUGAAAAGCCCCACAGAUGUGCAAUUCUAAAAUACAAUGAUGGAAUUCUAGAAGUUUGAGAUCUUCUGGGUCUCUCUCCCCACCCCUUGGUUUGCCAUAUUUAACUUAUGGAGCUUCCCUGUGAUUCAGUCUGGAGGAGGAGUGUGAGGAAAGGAGCUGUGUUGCUUGAUUUUGGACAAGUACAAACAUAAAGAACAGGCAAAUUAUUUAACAAGAUGAGGUCUAUGACCAGCUAAGAGCAUUGCAGUUGGAAACUAGGGAAUGACUAACCAAAGUAAUUGGAAGUUAAACCUGAAAUUAAUAACAAUGUGGAAACAUUAAUUGUGAACUGUGGCUUCUGCAGUUCACUCUUCAUGGGGCGUAUUCUAUGCUUUAAAAACUCAAAGCCAAAAGGGACAUGAAACAUAAAGAAUUAAAAGCUGGAGCUGACUUCAGAGCAGGUCAGCAGUGAAUGACGCCAUUGCCAACUGAACUAGUGUCCUGUGUGAAAUGAAGGGAUGCUCCUAACUAUCACCAUCAUAAAAACCACCCCCAUCACCUUCCGCUACAUCUCUACCAUGAUCUAAAGAGAAUGGCCUGGAACAAGAGUUCAAUCUUCAUGUUGUCUAUCAGAGAGGUCUAUCUACUUUACUUAUCUAGGUACUUGUAAACUCCCCUGUACAUAAUAUCUAAGGUCAUGGAAUGAAUAGGAAUGGAGAGUCAAUUCUGGUGUCCUUUUCUCUCUAGAAAUAGUCUCUCCAGAUCAUGGCUGAGGCACACCAAGGACAUGGAUAUGUAGAACUCUUAGGCCUUCUUCUCUAAUCCAUUCUCUGCCAUAUUAAUUCUCUGCCAUCUUCAGGUUUCACUGGCUAGGCAAAACUACAAAACUCUAUUUGGCAUUGCCAAGUGUUCAGUGUGAGGUUACAUGCUGCCUGGGUACCUUGCCUUUCAAACUGGUGCUGUGGUUUUUUUGCUUCACUUCUAUUGAAAGCUUUAAAAAUGUUGUGUGUUUGUGUGUGGUUUUGCUUCAUUCCACACUGGCUGCAGAAUAUAUGCAAUAUUAUAAUCACAAAUGCAUGUAUUUACUGCACACAGGGAAUUUCUGACCAUUACAAUAUGUGUGCGGUGGUGUUGUAGCCAUGUUGGUCCUAGGGUGUUUGAGACAAGGUAGUAUGUUCUUUGGACCAACUUCCGU
Molecule: long non-coding RNA, 2891 nt
Organism: Dermochelys coriacea (leatherback sea turtle)
Lineage: Eukaryota; Metazoa; Chordata; Testudines; Dermochelyidae
Exons: 3
Source: RefSeq, a predicted model, not a curated record